AGCUCUCCCUCACGUUCUCUCUCUCCAUUUAUCUCCCACGCGCGCAGCUUCCUUGUCUUCAAUUUCCUGGCAGCGGUGCUCCUCUCCCUCGCCGUGCAGCUCCCGCGCGAGCUCCUCUGCUGGCCGCUGCUGCUCGGCUUCCAGCUCGCCAUGUCCAUCUCCCUGCUGCCGCUCGCCCAUAGCGCCCUCGCCUUCCAACAGCCAGCGACGCCAGCCCUCUCCCUGCUUGCAUUCGUACAGAACCGCGCAGCUCCUGUGCUGAGCUCUGCAGCCGUGCUUCCUCCAACAGCAGCUGCGUCACCAGGCCCUCAACGUCGUGCUGUGCGCUGGGACAGUCCAUAGCUCGCCUGCGUGCCCAGCCGUCUCGAAUCAUGUCGUCGAUUCUCGGCACCGCGAGCUCACCUUCCCUUACACACAUCUCUACAGACACUGCCUCAUCACGCGUCUGCGUCAUCGAUUUCGUCGUCGUUCCUUGCGUUAUUAAGAAAUCCCAAGAGUUAGAUGAAACACGAAGCUAGCAGCGUGAAAUUUACCAAGUACUCGACGAAAAGCCUGCACUAGAAAGCAUCGUGGUUCUUGCGGAGUUCGCGUCUGAUUUUACUAAUGAAAAAUUUCAGUGUGUCUCGGAGAAGAAGAAGGUGACGUUCCGAUGCGUCACUAAGUGUUCGAUCAAAGACUUCAAUCGGAGCUUGUCAUCGUUCUUGCAAAUAUUGAGUCGAUAUUGAUUAUGGUGAGCAAAUUCUCUAUGUUAUUACUUUGUUUUAAUGAAUGGAUUGAUAGAUAUGUAGGUUUCGAUGAUUCUCGUACUUUUAGCAAGAGCAAUACAUGUUGAUUUAAUCGCAUCAUCUAGUAUUCGUUAGUUCGUAGGUUAUGUGUGGAGGAUUAAAUUGGUAUUCCAUAUCCGAUGUAUGGUCGAAUUAAUAUUACAGAGAAUAAGUCUUGUGUUUCUAACGUCUAGCCGAUAGGUGCUUUUAGUAUUGCGUAUGACGGAUUCAUUUGUUUGUAUGGAGUCGAUGACCUGAUGUGAUAGUCGUUAUGUUCUAUGUUUGCUGAUCGAUGAAAUGUCAUAGAUGGAUCGUUGACCGUUUAGAUUAAUAAUCUUGAAUAAAUAUGUGUGGUGCGAAAUAAAAUUAAAAUAGUUCUUUGUGAGCGAUGUGGUAUAAAUUAUAAAGCGAGGGAUAAGUUUAGCAUUGAAUUAAUUAGCCGAUAAGUUGUGUUUAGGCUAAUUGUGCUAAAUGUGUAUAGUUUGCUGUUUUGUGAUGUUUAUGUUAGAUUCGGUUAAUCUAGAGAAGCGUGAUUAUUGCGCUUAGUCGUAUGUCAAUAACUAGUGUUUGCUGAUGAAGUGUUAGAAUGCCUCAUCAUUAAGUACCUAAUGUUAUAUUGCGGAGCAUCAAAAUAUCUUACGUUACUCUUUCUUGUUCUCAUUCAUGUGCAUUAUGCAUAUCAAUUAGGUACGUUAAUUGAUCGUGUGAUGCGGAAGACGAGCCAAGUCGACCACAAGAUGUCGCUACGCGUGAGCUUCUCCACAAGAUGAUGCUGAUGGACGAACCUGAAGAUGGAUAAUCUGAACGAGUGUCAAGACAAAGGAUGGUCGUCAAGUGGACGUCAUCUAACAAACACUAACGCAGUGUUUAUUCUAGGCAAGCCCCGGUGCAUGCAAUCCCUUUCCUUGUGUUUUUAAAUGAUUUUUACACACUUUAAGUCUAGCGAAAUGUGCAUUGAGUUUAUAGGAGUUGCUUGGAAACCCUUUGAUGCAUUGGCUACCAUGAAAUCCAUUCCUUUUAUAGAUACUUCUGGUGAAGUAUCAAAUAUGAUUUACAGAAUUACUUAGCCCUGCCUAGAG
This 1843-nucleotide long non-coding RNA is filed under the name Zea mays. RNAcentral describes it as "long non-coding RNA (ZMAY_LNC003431)". Lineage: Eukaryota; Viridiplantae; Streptophyta; Magnoliopsida; Poales; Poaceae. The record is from RNAcentral.